This 449-nucleotide ribosomal RNA is filed under the name uncultured bacterium. RNAcentral describes it as "bacterial SSU rRNA". It matches the Rfam family "Bacterial small subunit ribosomal RNA", at positions 330 to 794 of the family's 1533-position model. The record is from RNAcentral.
ACCAGACUCCUACGGGAGGCAGCAGUGGGGGAUAUUGCACAAUGGGGGAAACCCUGAUGCAGCGACGCCGCGUGGGCGAAGAAGUAUUUCGGUAUGUAAAGCCCUAUCAGCAGGGAAGAAGAAAUGACGGUACCUGAGUAAGAAGCACCGGCUAAAUACGUGCCAGCAGCCGCGGUAAUACGUAUGGUGCAAGCGUUAUCCGGAUUUACUGGGUGUAAAGGGAGCGUAGACGGCAGUGCAAGUCUGGAGUGAAAGGCGGGGGCUCAACCCCCGGACUGCUCUGGAAACUGUACGGCUGGAGUGCAGGAGAGGUAAGUGGAAUUCCUAGUGUAGCGGUGAAAUGCGUAGAUAUUAGGAGGAACACCAGUGGCGAAGGCGGCUUACUGGACUGUAACUGACGUUGAGGCUCGAAAGCGUGGGGAGCAAACAGGAUUAGAUACCCCAGUAUA